Molecule: ribosomal RNA, 514 nt
Filed under: uncultured bacterium
Lineage: Bacteria
Description: partial 16S ribosomal RNA
Rfam family: Bacterial small subunit ribosomal RNA
Source: RNAcentral
GAUGAACGCUGGCGGCGUGCCUAAUACAUGCAAGUCGAGCGAAUGGAUUAAGAGCUUGCUCUUAUGAAGUUAGCGGCGGACGGGUGAGUAACACGUGGGUAACCUGCCCAUAAGACUGGGAUAACUCCGGGAAACCGGGGCUAAUACCGGAUAACAUUUUGAACCGCAUGGUUCGAAAUUGAAAGGCGGCUUCGGCUGUCACUUAUGGAUGGACCCGCGUCGCAUUAGCUAGUUGGUGAGGUAACGGCUCACCAAGGCAACGACGGGUAGCCGACCUGAGAGGGUGAUCGGCCACACUGGGACUGCGACACGGCCAGACUCCUACGGGAGGCAGCAGUAGGGAAUCUUCCGCAAUGGACGAAAGUCUGACGGAGCAACGCCGCGUGAGUGAUGAAGGCUUUCGGGUCGUAAAACUCUGUUGUUAGGGAAGAACAAGUGCUAGUUGAAUAAGCUGGCACCUUGACGGUACCUAACCAGAAAGCCACGGCUAACUACGUGCCAGCCGCCGCGGUAA